CUUUUUAAAUAGUCCCACAACAAUAUCAUAUGAGUUGGCAUCCUCAACUAUUUUAGUUGCACAAGAACCAAUCAGGAGUUGGCAGUCUCAAGUAUUUUAGUUGCACAAGAACAAAUCAGGACUUUUUUUCAUUUUUCAUUUUUCAUUUUUCAUUUUUCAGUUGCACAACCUCUCAUGUCAGUUGGCUGCAUCUAGAUGGUAGUUGCAUGCUCCAGAAAUUAUAGUUGGGAGGGACAUUUUUAUAUAUGAUAUCUAACUGGUACACUCUACACUACAUAGUUGGCUAGUAAACAUUGCACAGGAAUGCAAACAUAGUUGGAUUUAGACACAAAGGAUGAACAUUAGUCUAUUUUUAAAAUUUCAUUUUUCAGUUGCACACGCUCAUACGUUAGUUGGCUGCAUUUGUAGAAUAGUUGCACGCUCUAGAUCAUUUAGUUGGCAGGCCAUUUUUUUGCCAUGAUAUCUAAACGGGACACUGUGUCUGCAUCACACAGUUACGACAGGUUUUUUCCGGUGUGGUUUUCUCCGCCAAGUGUUCGUCCAGUUUUUUAGUAGAUCACAUGGUGUUUUCUAGUGGACUUUUAUGUGCAUGUCUCGCCUCCUUAUGCUUUCUCCAGCUCACAUGUGUGUCUUUGGGUUUCUUGCAGUGAAAAUGGUUGUAGAAGGGAGAUAAUGGUGGCAACGGAGGAGAGGUAAAUUUUGCGUUUUUUUCUUCAUGAUAUGUGUGUUUAGGUUUUCAUUAUAGUUUUCAAAAAAGGCGUUUUCAUAUAGAUUUGGUGUGGGCAGGCAUUGCGUGAGAGAACCACCACAUAGGAGUCUGCGCAACCGUGGUCUUCUUUCCCCAUCUUCGGCGAACUUUCUCGCUCAACCCCUACCUCAAUCCUUAAUUAUCCAUGUCAUGGAGCACAUCGACCACUAGGCAGUUGUUCAUCGACUACUAGACAGUUGGUCGGAAUAUAAAAAGUUGGAUAUCUCACUCGCGGUGGUAGUUAGAGUAGUGAAAAUUCCACAUCCGACUAUUAGGCAAUUGGCAGGUGCAGCAGACGAAGUUGCACAUCAUUUGCUAGAUAGGCGGCCGGGACAGCUGAUGAAGUUGUACAACAACUGCUAAACAGUUGGCCAGGACAGCAGACGAAGUUGCACAUUGCACAGCCAGAGGCUGUUGAGGUGGUGAAAACUGCACAUCCACGGAGUCGGGGGAACGUUGUACAUUGACCUACUAGAACGUUGGUUGCGGCAGCAGAUGAAGUUGCAUAUCGUCUGGUAGUCAGUUGGCGCAGAUAGCGCAUGAAGUUGCACAUCUCACUAACAUGGAUAAUUAGGGAGGUAAAAAAUGCACAUCCAUGGGGUAGGGAAAAAGUUGCACAUCGACUACUAGGCAGUUGGCCGGGCAGCAGCCGAAGUUGCACACCAACUACUAGGCAGUUGGACGGGCAGUAGUCGAAGUUGCACAUCGUCUGCUAGGCAGGUGGAACGGGCAUCGGAUGAAGUUGCACAUCAUUUGUUAGUCAGUUGGCACGAACAACAGAUGUUAUUGCACAUCAUUUGUUAGCCAAUUGGCGCCGACAGCAAAUGAAGUUGCACAUCUCACUGGGCAGGGGUAAUUAGGGUGGUGAAAAAUGCAUGUCCACGUGGUAGAGAUAAGAUGCAGAUCUACUGCUAGAUAGUUGUCCGAGCGGUAAAUGAAGUUGCAUAUCAUCUGCUAGACAAGUGGACGGGGCAGCAGGUGAAGUUUCUCAUCACAUGAAGUUGAUUCAUCUAACACUAAAAUUACACCAUGCAGUACUAUAGUUUGGUUGUGGUAGCACCAAAUUUAGUUUUAAAAAAAGUUGCAUCCCAUAGUAUAAAAGUUGCACCAUGUAGUACCAACAGUUGGCUGUGAAAAAAGUUCAUCGAAACCUAUAUAAAUUAAAUCUAGUUUUAAAGAUCUCAUCGCGAGGAUUACAACGAUGAAAACGGAUUUUAAUUUUAAUAUGUGGUUUGAAAGUUAUAGCUUUUGAAUUUUUUGAAAUGCAAUUAAUUGGCUUUUUGCUUUACUAAUGCAGAUAGGAAGAAGUGGCGCCAGCGUGAAGGAGGAAAUAGAAGACGUGUCGGUGGCCGAUGCUUUUUUAGUUUUGUCUCACGUGGGGACCAGGUUUCUUAAUUAGGACAUGGGACAUAAAUAUUCCUAAUAUGGCUGGCUGCCGAGGAUCGCUAGCGAGCGCACGGCUGCUCGCUAGACGUAUCCCUAGAAAAUUCCCUUCUCUGUCUUCCAUCUCCCUCGCCUGGCUCUGCUACUCUCCACAGGCCCCCAACGCCGACCAUGCCGCCGCCGAGGCCGCCUUCCACCACCUCCGCGGCUCCCACCCGGAGCCCCGUGUGCUGCGCCUCGCCUCAUCACCCGCGACGCCAACUACCCCCCUCUCCCCCACGAGCUCCGCGCCAUGGCCGCUGUCCUCCUCCGCAAGAUCCUCUCUCCACGGCCUCCUCUGACUCGUCCACCUCCGAGCUCCGUGUCAUGGCCGCUGUCCUCCUCCGCAAGCUCCUCUCCCCCGAAGGCCUCUUCCAACUCUGGCCCCUCCUCUCCCCCGAGGGUCAGGCCGCACUCAAGUCAAACCUCGUCAACGCAUCCGGCAGUGCCGCAACAACCUUGACGGAGCUCGCUGCUGCUGCUCACUCUUAUCUCCACCGGGCUGGAGUGUAGGAGGUUGCCGCCACCGGGCUGGAUCCAUCUCUCCUUUUUUAUUGAAUCAAAACACACAUCCAGAUUCAUCCCUGGCUUGCUUGCAGGAGAACGUAAGUUGUUUUUUCUACUACCGCUCAAGUUGCACAGGCACUUGUAUCAGUACGCAUUUCUGAUACAGCUUAAUCUUAUCUCUGUAGCACACUCGCUAGAAGGCCGUUGAUUUGGAUGAAAUUGGGUGUCCUACAUUCUGCUACUUUUGUGCUAUGCUUGUUGCCUGUGUAUGCUUCAGGUAUAGAAAAAUCCUAUCCACUUUCAUGAAGAUACAAAGACUAGAUGACGUUUUUGUUUAAGCCUUGUUUAGGUUGAUCUAUUUUUGCUAUUCAUAUUUUUUGUUGGCAUCUACAGCAGUUGUAGUUGCACACAUAAUAGUUCUUAGUUGGAUAUGACCAUCAAGCAUUUACACAACACAACGAUACUAAAUUGGCUAGAUGAAAUCUAGCUCUCACAUUGAUUACUUCAAUUUAGCUAGACGCGGGUCAUUGUAAGCUCGACCAACUACUAUUUGUAAACUAGAAGCAUGCAUACUCUCAUCCGCAUAUGUACAGUACUUUCAGCAUCUUGCUCAAGGAGCUAUGGUGAUUAGGAUUAGUGGUGGGUUUGUACAGCGAUUAGGGUUUGAGUUGGAUUUUCACGGCUGGUUGUUCUAAUUUCGCAACUAUUGGUAUGGUUCAGGAUCCUAUCUUGAUCCUUCUAUUUUUGCCUAGACUACAACUGUCUUUUUAAACAUGAUACUCUCUCUAGAGCUUCAUUACAUUAUGUACCUCUUUUUUCUUGUAAAUGCAUUCGUGUGGUUUCUCUGUUUUCUCGUAAGUUCCAUGCAUAUAAGUAACUAGUUGGCUAGUUUGUUGUAAUAGUUGCACAGGAACGCAAACGUAGUUGGAUGACACAUAUACAUAUCUCAGUUGGCUAGCCAACUUAUGAAGUUGCACACUAAGGGCUAACCAGUUGCACAAUCGAUGGUAUUUAGAUGGAUGCACUGUGUAAACUAUGUUCAAGCAGUGUGUGUGGUUUUUUUGGUUGCACACUCAUGUGUGCCCUGUUGGCAAGGGUACACGUUCGUAUAGGAGUACAGAUCCUAGCUGCCUUAGCCGCACUUAUACAGCUGCACAGGGAAAGGCUACCUAGUUGCACGGUUGACGGCUAGGUAGGUUUGGCUCCAGUGCCUAAAUCAAGUUCACGCGGUCUGUAUACUGAUUUUUUUUGGUUGCACGCUCAUUUGUGCCCAGUUGGCCAUACAGUGCAUCAAGUUGCACACAAUUUUUUGCUUGGUAUGUGUGCUUUGGAAAAUCAUCAUAAGUUGCUUUACCCCGUGGCAUUUUUUAUAUCAUUUUUUUUGCUAUUUUUUUCUUGUAUACAUUUGGUUGCUUUGACUAAUUUGUUCGUUUGCAUUUUUCACAGGCCAAAAAUGGUCGUAGAAGGAGAUGCGGCUCCUAGUGAAGGAGAGGUAUCCUCAACCUUUAUAGAUGCAUCCAGAACUUUUAUAGUUGCACAACAAUCAAUUAAGAAUUGGUAUCCUCAACUUUUCAAAUAGUUGCACAACAGUAUCAUACGAGUUGGCAUCCUCAACUUCCAUAGUUGCACCAGAACCAUUUCAGAGUUGGCAGUCUCAACCUUUUAAAUAGUCCCACAACAAUAUCAUAUGAGUUGGCAUCCUCAACUAUUUUAGUUGCACAAGAACCAAUCAGGAGUUGGCAGUCUCAAGUAUUUUAGUUGCACAAGAACCAAUCAGGACAUUUUUUUCAUUUUUCAUUUUUCAGUUGCACAACCUCUCAUGUCAGUUGGCUGCAUCUAGAUGGUAGUUGCAUGCUCCAGAAAUUAUAGUUGGGGGGGACAUUUUUUUAUAUGAUAUCUAACUGGUACACUCUACACUACAUAGUUGGCUAGUAAACAUUGCACAGGAAUGCAAACAUAGUUGGAUUUAGACACAAAGGAUGAACAUUAGUCUAUUUUUAAAAUUUCAUUUUUCAGUUGCACACGCUCAUAAGUUAGUUGGCUACAUUUGUAGAAUAGUUGCACGCUCUAGAUCAUUUAGUUGGCAGGCCAUUUUUUUGCCAUGAUAUCUAAACGGGACAUUGUGUCUGCAUCACACAGUUACGACAGGUUUUUUCCGGUGUGGUUUUCUCCGCCAAGUGUUCGUCCAGUUUUUUAGUAGAUCACGUGGUGUUUUCUAGUGGACUUUUAUGUGCAUGUCUCGCCUCCUUAUGCUUUCUCCAGCUCACAUGUGUGUCCUUGGGUUUCUUGCAGUGAAUAUGGUGAAGUGAAAAUGGUUGUAGAAGGGAGAUAAUGGUGGCAACGGAGGAGAGGUAAAUUUUGCGUUUUUUUCUUCAUGAUAUGUGUGUUUAGGUUUUCAUUAUAGUUUUCAAAAAAGGCGUUUUCAUAUAGAUUUGGUGUGGGCAGGCAUUGCGUGAGAGAACCACCACAUAGGAGUCUGCGCAACCGUGGUCUUCUUUCCCCAUCUUUGGCAAACUUUCUCGCUCAACCCCUACCUCAAUCCUUAAUUAUCCAUGUCAUGGAGCACAUCGACCACUAGGCAGUUGUUCAUCGACUGCUAGACAGUUGGUCGGGAUAUAAAAACUUGGAUAUCUCACUCGCGGUGGUACUUAGAGUAGUGAAAAUUCCACAUCCGACUAUUAGGCAAUUGGCAGGUGUAGCAGACGAAGUUGCACAUUAUCUGCUAGAUAGGCGGUCGGGACAGCUGAUGAAGUUGUACAACAACUGCUAAACAGUUGGCCAGGACAGCAGACGAAGUUGCACAUUGCACAGCCAGAGGCUAUUGAGGUGGUGAAAACUGCACAUCCACGGAGUCGGGGGAAUGUUGUACAUUGACCUACUAGAACAUUGGUUGCGGCAGCAGAUGAAGUUGCAUAUCGUCUGGUAGUCAGUUGGCGCAGAUAGCGCAUGAAGUUGCACAUCUCACUAACAUGGAUAAUUAGGGAGGUGAAAAUGCACAUCCAUGGGGUAGGGAAAAAGUUGCACAUCGACUACUAGGCAGUUGGCCGGGCAGCAGCCGAAGUUGCACAUCAACUACUAGGCAGUUGGCCGGGCAGUAGUCGAAGUUGCACAUUGUCUGCUAGGCAGGUGGAACGGGCAUCGGAUGAAGUUGCACAUCAUUUGUUAGUCAGUUGGCACGAACAACAGAUGUUAUUGCACAUAAUUUGUUAGCCAAUUGGCGCCGACAGCAAAUGAAGUUGCACAUCUCAGGGGUAAUUAGGGUGGUGAAAAAUGCAUGUCCAUGUGGUAGAGAUAAGGUGCGGAUCUACUGCUAGACAGUUGUCCGAGCGGUAAAUGAAGUUGCAUAUCAUCUGCUAGACAGGUGGACGGGGCAGCAGGUGAAGUUGCUCAUCACUUGAAGUUGAUUCAUCUAACACUAGAAUUACACCAUGCAGUACUAUAGUUUGGUUGUGGUAGCACCAAAUUUAGUUUUAAAAAAAGUUGCAUCCCAUAGUAUAAAAGUUGCACCAUGUAGUACCAACAGUUGGCUGUGAAAAAAGUUCAUCGAAACCUAUAUAAAUUAGGUCUAGUUUUAAAGAUCUCAUUGCGAGGAUUACAACGGUGAAAACGGAUUUUAAUUUCAAUAUGUGGUUUGAAAGUUAUAGCUUUUUGAAUUUUUUGAAAUGCAAUUAAUUGGCUUUUUGCUUUACUAAUGCAGAUAGGAAGAAGUGGCGCCAGCGUGAAGGAGGAAAUAGAAGACGUGUCGAUGGCCGAUGCUUUUUUAGUUUUGUCUCAUGUGGGGACCAGGUUUCUUAUUUAGGACAUGGGGCAUAAAUAUUCCUAAUAUGGCUGGCUGGCGAGGAUCGCUAGCGAGCGCACGGCUGCUCGCUAGACGUAUCCUAAAGUAAUUUGGCAUCCAUCCGGGUUAAUUUUACACUAUUACUACAUUCGAAAAUAAAGGAUUUCAAUACAAAUCUGAGGUCAGUAUUUUAGGGCUAAAAAUUCUGACGCUCUCAGGUACGUCAAAUCCAGAUCAAACGUAUGGCAAUUAAUCGCUGUAGCAUGAUAAAUUUUCUGUUGAUUUUUUACGUUACAUGGCCAUUUUCACUGUAGAACAUGGCAAAUCCUAUGCACAAAGCAUGGUAAUUUUAUCUGUUUUUGCAUGGCAAAUCUGGCCGUUAUUUUUAGCGCUUAAAAUCUGACUUCAGAUUUUUAACAUUUCCGAAAAUAAAAGUAGUACACUAUUACUAAUAGCCUACUUGGUAACCUUUGGGAAGAGGAACGGGCGUUUGUGCCAGGGAGUUCAUCAACGGAGUAGUUGUGGGAAAUAGAAUUUACUCCCAUUCCCUUAUUUGAUAUGCGAUGGGAAUUAGUUCGCGAUAAAGGCCUACCCACAAAUUAACAGUGUCCCCAUGGGAAGAAAUUGAUGAUUGGCACUCUCAGCUCCCAUUCCCUUCCUUCUUAAACUCCCGAUCCCUCUUAACAAUCAGUGGGCUUUUAUUCUCCUUACUAAGGGUUUUUCUUCGAGGGGGGUUACGGGUAUGUGUUCCUAUCAUUACACCAAAAAUAUUUGCCUUGCAUCUGGUUUUGCGAGUGACACCAAAGUUAGCAUUACAAUAACAAAAUAAAUAGGCACUCUAUCUUAUUUUUGCCAAAUAGCGGACUAAGUAACAAGCACAGAAAACGUGCACCAAAAUUUUGUCAGCCAUAUUGUGCGCACUAAUCAGCGAGAUGCAAAGUUAGGGUAAAAAAACAUCAACCAAUAUUUUGACCCAAAUGGUAAGUGCCACACGUGUGGCAUGAAGCAAUUCGGUCCUGACAUUUUUUCAACUAAAGUUGUCAUCCAAAAAGAAAAGAAAAAUAAAAAAACUGAAACUUGCCAUCCGAAAAAAAAUUGUCAUGUUUAACAAUUAAAGUUGUCAUCCUCGCGUCACUGAACUUGCCAUAAAAAAUAUUCGGAAUUGCCAUGUAUUCGUGCCACACAUGUGACACUUUUCAGGGGGUCCUAUUUUGAUGACUAAUCAGAAUUUUCACAUCAACUAAUAAGAAAGUUUGACCGACUGAAAUAUUCGGUCACCAGUCUCACGACGACUAAGCGUUAACUCUGCAUGAUGGACGUGCCCCAACAGUAUUCGGUCG
RNAcentral lists this long non-coding RNA (7795 nucleotides) under Triticum aestivum (bread wheat). RNAcentral describes it as "long non-coding RNA (TAES_LNC000302)". The record is from RNAcentral. Lineage: Eukaryota; Viridiplantae; Streptophyta; Magnoliopsida; Poales; Poaceae.